RNAcentral lists this transfer RNA (73 nucleotides) under Flavihumibacter petaseus NBRC 106054. It matches the Rfam family "tRNA". From Rfam's summary of the family: Transfer RNA (tRNA) molecules are approximately 80 nucleotides in length. Their secondary structure includes four short double-helical elements and three loops (D, anti-codon, and T loops). Further hydrogen bonds mediate the characteristic L-shaped molecular structure. tRNAs have two regions of fundamental functional importance: the anti-codon, which is responsible for specific mRNA codon recognition, and the 3' end, to which the tRNAs corresponding amino acid is attached (by aminoacyl-tRNA synthetases). tRNAs cope with the degeneracy of the genetic code in two manners: having more than one tRNA (with a specific anti-codon) for a particular amino acid; and 'wobble' base-pairing, i.e. permitting non-standard base-pairing at the 3rd anti-codon position. Lineage: Bacteria; Pseudomonadati; Bacteroidota; Chitinophagia; Chitinophagales; Chitinophagaceae. The record is from Rfam by way of RNAcentral.
GGACAGGUAACUCAGUUGGUAGAGUGCCAGACUGAAAAUCUGGUGGUCACUGGUUCGAAUCCGGUCUUGUCCG